This 925-nucleotide unclassified non-coding RNA is filed under the name Hevea brasiliensis (rubber tree). The record is from RNAcentral. Lineage: Eukaryota; Viridiplantae; Streptophyta; Magnoliopsida; Malpighiales; Euphorbiaceae.
UGGAAUUAGAUGUUUUCAUGAGCAACCAAAUGAUAUAAAGGAGGAGUUUUACUCAAUGGAUCCUAUGAAGAAGGUGAUGUUUAAUAGUAAUUUUGAUCUUUAUCAAGCUAAGGUUGCAAAUUGGAGGGAUACAUUAGCUUGUCUCAUGGCUCCUAAUCCUCCUACUAAUGAUGAAUUACCACAAGCGUGUAGGGAGGAAUUACUUCAAUAUUCUCAACAUGUUAGAAAGUUGGGCCUUACAAUAUUUGAGUUACUAGCAGAGGCACUUGGGCUUAAGCCCAAUCACUUAUUGGGCCUGGACUGUGCAAGGGGCCAUUUCAUUCUCUGUCAUUACUAUCCACCUUGUCCUGAGCCCAAUAAGACUCUUGGAAUCACAAAACAUACUGAUCCAGAUUUCUUCACAAUUCUUCUACAAGAUCAAAUUGGUGGGCUUCAAAUUAAUCACCAAAAUCAAUGGAUUGAUAUUCAUCCUGUUACUGGAGCCCUAGUUAUCAAUCUUGGUGACCUUAUGCAGCUUCUAUCAAAUGACAAGUUCAAAAGUGCUGAGCAUAGAGUAUUGUCAAAACAUAUUGGGCCAAGGAUAUCAAUUGCAUGUUUCUUUACAACUCAAUUUCAGCCAUUUGAUACACUUUAUGGCCCAAUAAAGGAAUUGUUGUCUGAUGAAAAUCAUGCUUUGUACAAAGAAACAACAGUGAGAGAUUAUGUGACUUAUUACAACUCUAGAGGACUUGGGGCUCACCCUGCCCUUCUUCAUUUAAGGCUCGAUCCGUCCAUUUGACACGUCUAGUAUAUGCUCGGAAUAUUUGAUAUGUAUCCACUCCUUCAUGAUUUUGGUUUUCGACUCGUGGAAUUAUCAUGUUUGUAUAUUGUGUUUCACUUCUUGAUCUCCAUUUUCAAAUGAGUAUAUACAAAGAAGUGAGAGAAG